RNAcentral lists this ribosomal RNA (253 nucleotides) under uncultured bacterium. RNAcentral describes it as "partial 16S ribosomal RNA". It matches the Rfam family "Bacterial small subunit ribosomal RNA", at positions 524 to 776 of the family's 1533-position model. The record is from RNAcentral.
UACGUAGGGUGCGAGCGUUAAUCGGAAUUACUGGGCGUAAAGCGCGCGUAGGUGGUUCAGUAAGUUGGAUGUGAAAUCCCCGGGCUCAACCUGGGAACUGCAUCCAAAACUGCUGAGCUAGAGUACGGUAGAGGGUGGUGGAAUUUCCUGUGUAGCGGUGAAAUGCGUAGAUAUAGGAAGGAACACCAGUGGCGAAGGCGACCACCUGGACUGAUACUGACACUGAGGUGCGAAAGCGUGGGGAGCAAACAGG